Molecule: long non-coding RNA, 237 nt
Filed under: Physcomitrium patens
Lineage: Eukaryota; Viridiplantae; Streptophyta; Bryopsida; Funariales; Funariaceae
Description: long non-coding RNA (PPAT_LNC012925)
Source: RNAcentral
AAUUGAAUCUUAAUCAAACUCUAGGUCAAAUCUUAGAUCAAAUCUCAAUUGAAAUCCUAAUUGAACCUUAACCGAAUUCUAGAUUAGAUCCUAAUGAAAUCUUAAUGAAAUCUUAAAUCCUAAAAAAACCUUGAACAAGUUUUAAAUCAAAUUCUAAGCAAUCUUAGACCAAAUCUGAAACCAAAUCCUAAUCAAAUCCUAAAUCUUAAACAACUCUCAACAAACCUUAUAGCAAAU